GGGGACACAGAGCUCCCACCGCAUGCUGGGCUUUAGUGAUGCCUUACUAUCCAUCAUCGCCACUGUCAUGGUCAGUGUGGGGCCCGCCUCAAACCUACCACUCCUUUCUGUGGCAGCCUCGGAUGCCCAAACCUUUCAUGCAGGUGCAGCCUGCCCAGCAGUGGUCAAGAGCCAACAUAACUACUGAAGAGCCCAGCCCCAGAAGUAUUGCUUGGUCAUUUUUGUCUUUGUUCCUUUAGAUCCUGCCUGUGACCCACACAGAGAUCUCACCAGAACAGCAGUUUGACAAAAGUAUACAGAAACUUCUAGCAACUAGGAUUGCUGUCUACCUCAUGACAUUUCUAAUCGUAACUGUGGCCUGGGCAGCACAUACCAGGUAGGGAAUUAACCCAGGGUCCUCAUUGUCAUGAUUUACUCAGGGUGGACAAAAGACAUGGACUGUUACACUACUGCAG
This 455-nucleotide long non-coding RNA is filed under the name Rattus norvegicus (Norway rat). RNAcentral describes it as "long non-coding RNA NONRATT009681". Lineage: Eukaryota; Metazoa; Chordata; Mammalia; Rodentia; Muridae. The record is from RNAcentral.